AAAAGGAAAAAAAAAAGUAAGACAGGGGAGUAUCUUUUACUUUAACAAAUCACUUAAUACAACAUUUUUGUAGUUUGUGAAAAACACUUACGGAAGUUCCCAGCUUCAGUGUCGUUGAUCUUCAUCCUCUGGUAUAGAAUCGAAGAAUUCUCUUUGACCUGAACCAGUGUGUGAAUCAGUGAUUCAUAGAAGGAAAGCAAGAGUAACAAAAAUGACGAGACUCGGUAGAGCAACCUCACAAUCUCACUCUAUUAUCUCUCAGAAAUAGGCCUCAUUAAAAAACAUCAAGCUUUCAAUUCACUGCUGU
This 307-nucleotide long non-coding RNA is filed under the name Bos taurus (domestic cattle). RNAcentral's name for it is "long non-coding RNA NONBTAT022308". The record is from RNAcentral. Lineage: Eukaryota; Metazoa; Chordata; Mammalia; Artiodactyla; Bovidae.